This is a small nucleolar RNA of Sorex fumeus (smoky shrew), 133 nucleotides long. RefSeq annotates it as small nucleolar RNA SNORA72. The record is from RefSeq and is a predicted model, not a curated record. NCBI's taxonomy places the organism in Eukaryota, Metazoa, Chordata, Mammalia, Eulipotyphla, Soricidae. The transcript has a single exon.
ACUUGCUUAUUCUCACUGUUCUGAUUUUGGAGUAAUCAGGGCGGGCUAAACAUUCACUCUAAGACCAUGCUAAUGUUCCCAGAUCUAGUUCUUUACGUAUCUAGGUCUGGUCUUAGAAAUGCUAGUGACAAAU